Molecule: long non-coding RNA, 1281 nt
Filed under: Anser cygnoides (Swan goose)
Lineage: Eukaryota; Metazoa; Chordata; Aves; Anseriformes; Anatidae
Description: lncRNA (ENSACDG00005017710.1)
Source: RNAcentral
AUGAAAAAAUUCCUGUAUUUCAGAAGACAGCGGUGCUCUGUGCAGUGCCUAGAGAGAUGUUGUGUGAUGCUCUUCAGCCUGGAGAAAGGCUACAGGAGGGCUUUGUUCUCCAGGCGGUGUGGCGGUGAGAGCUGUGCCUGGCGCACAACCGAAGCACCACUGCAGAGAAAUGCAGACACCACGAUAAAGAAGCACAGACACCAGGGUGGCAGGCGAGCCCGAGUGCUGCACUGCACCCAGGCGAGGACAGGCAGCCAGGGAGCUUGCUGGCCGAAGGGCAGGGCUGUGAACGGGGUGUGCUCAACUAGGGACAUCAGAAAUGGCCCCAGCUGUACAGUGCCAGAUUUCAGCCUCGGUGAUUUUGCAUUUUAAAACACGCAAGAGGGCACGGACAGAGGGAAAAGUAGUCACCAUGCCACUAGGAUGUCACUAGCUGCCCUGGGAAGGAGCUGGGGGAGGGCAGAGGCAUGUGCUGCCCUGCUUCUCCAGCCCGCAGUGUCCUUCUGAAGUUACAAAAUGCCUUCAGGAAGGGCUUCUCCACCUGAAAACUCGUUCACUGUUUUUCCACUCAUAGCAGCUGGCCUAACUGAAAAAAUACUGUCUUUUCCUAACCUCGCUCGUCUGCUCACCCUGCCGACACGCUUGUGCUUUCCCAACAGUGCAGGCUCCAGCUGAGCAGCAGCUGAGACCGUUUGCCCCGCUGUCCUGCAGGAAGGUCGCUGCCGAACCCCCCUCUCCGACCGAGUUUCCAGACUGCGUUAUUUACGGGCAUUCAUCCCCGUGCCAGCAUUGUUUUCCGGGGUGAGGAGCUCUUCUGCCCUGCGGCAGGCGUUUCUAGGAAAGCAAUCCCUUCCCCUCUCUGCAUCUCUCCCAUGGGAUGGACAGGCCAGGCGCUGGCUCUCUGCUUGUGGGGUUGGCUCCCCGUCUCCGGAGCAGCCCCGCGCUGUACCUGCCCUUUCUCAACUUCCCCAGGGUGAGCAGAAGCGAGGUGCUGUGCUAGAUGUGGUCUCACCAGUGCAUCAGUUCUACCAAGCAUUUUAUAUUCCCGUAAGGAACUCAUGAUGGGAAAAUCUGAGCCAUCACCUGUGUCCAGAUUGCAGACCGUUGAGAAGAUACUCCCCAAGACGGUCCAGACCUGAGCUCCUGAGGAACUUCACCACUGAUUUCCAGGAGCAGUCCUNNNNNNNNNNNNNNNNNNNNCAUCAGUUCUACCAAGCAUUUUAUAUUCUCCUAAGGAGCUCAUGAUGGGAAAAUCUGAGCCAUCACCUGUGUCCAGAUUGC